GACGUAGGGCGCAAGCGUUGUCCGGAUUUAUUGGGCGUAAAGAGCUCGUAGGCGGUUUGUCGCGUCGACUGUGAAAACCCGAGGCUUAACCUCGGGCCUGCAGUCGAUACGGGCAGACUAGAGUUCGGUAGGGGAGACUGGAAUUCCUGGUGUAGCGGUGAAAUGCGCAGAUAUCAGGAGGAACACCGGUGGCGAAGGCGGGUCUCUGGGCCGAUACUGACGCUGAGGAGCGAAAGCGUGGGGAGCGAACAGG
This 253-nucleotide ribosomal RNA is filed under the name uncultured bacterium. Its description in RNAcentral is "partial 16S ribosomal RNA". It matches the Rfam family "Bacterial small subunit ribosomal RNA", at positions 524 to 776 of the family's 1533-position model. The record is from RNAcentral.